GACGAACGCUGGCGGCGUGCCUAAUACAUGCAAGUAGAACGCACAGUUUAUAUCGUUGCUUGCUCCACAAUAGACUGUGAGGUGCGAAUGGGGGAGUAACGCGUAGGUAACCUGCCUGGUAGCGGGGGAUAAAUAUUGGAAACGAAAGCUAAAACCGCAUAAUAUUGAUUAUUGCAUGAUAAUAGAUGGAAAGACACUAUUGCAUCACUACCAGACGGAGUUGUGUUGUAUUAGCUAGUAGGAGAGGUAACGGCUCACCUAGGCGACGAUACAUAGCCGACCUGAGAGGGUGAUCGGCCACACUGGGACUGAGACACGGCCCAAACUCCUACGGGAGGCAGCAGUAGGGAAUCUUCGGCAAUGGACGAAAGUCUGACCGAGCAACGCCGCGUGAGUGAAGAAGGUUUUCGGAUCGUAAAGCUCUGUUGUAAGAGAAGAACGGGUGUGAGAGUGGAAAGUUCACACUGUGACGGUAUCCUACCAGAAAGGGACGGCUAACUACGUG
This 505-nucleotide ribosomal RNA is filed under the name uncultured bacterium. RNAcentral describes it as "partial 16S ribosomal RNA". It matches the Rfam family "Bacterial small subunit ribosomal RNA", at positions 28 to 507 of the family's 1533-position model. The record is from RNAcentral.